Molecule: ribosomal RNA, 907 nt
Filed under: Sphaeropsis visci
Lineage: Eukaryota; Fungi; Ascomycota; Dothideomycetes; Botryosphaeriales; Botryosphaeriaceae
Description: LSU rRNA
Rfam family: Eukaryotic large subunit ribosomal RNA
Source: RNAcentral
GCAUAUCAAUAAGCGGAGGAAAAGAAACCAACAGGGAUUGCCUUAGUAACGGCGAAGUGAAGCGGCAACAGCUCAAAUUUGAAAGCUCGGCCCUUUCAGGGUCCGCGUUGUAAUUUGUAGAGGAUGAUUCGGCGAGGGCUCCCGCCUAAGUCCCCUGGAACGGGGCGUCAUAGAGGGUGAGAAUCCCGUAUGCGGUGGGCUGCCUUAGCCGUGUGAAUCUCCUUCGACGAGUCGAGUUGUUUGGGAAUGCAGCUCUAAAUGGGAGGUAAAUUUCUUCUAAAGCUAAAUACCGGCCAGAGACCGAUAGCGCACAAGUAGAGUGAUCGAAAGAUGAAAAGCACUUUGGAAAGAGAGUUAAAAAGUACGUGAAAUUGUUGAAAGGGAAGCGCUUGCAACCAGACUUGUCCGCAGUUGCUCAGCCGGUCUCCUGACCGGCGUACUCUUCUGCGGCCAGGCCAGCAUCAGUUCGGGCGGUCGGAUAAAGACCUCGGGAAUGUAGCUCCUCUCGGGGAGUGUUAUAGCCCGGGGUGGAAUGCGGCCAGCCUGGACUGAGGAUCUCGCUUCGGCAAGGAUGCUGGCGUAAUGGUUGUAAGCGGCCCGUCUUGAAACACGGACCAAGGAGUCUAACAUCUAUGCGAGUGUUUGGGUGUCAAACCCAUACGCGUAAUGAAAGUGAACGGAGGUGGGAACCCGCAAGGGCGCACCAUCGGCCGAUCCUGAUGUCUUCGGAUGGAUUUGAGCAAGAGCAUAGCUGUUGGGACCCGAAAGAUGGUGAACUAUGCCUGAAUAGGGUGAAGCCAGAGGAAACUCUGGUGGAGGCUCGCAGCGGUUCUGACGUGCAAAUCGAUCGUCAAAUUUGGGUAUAGGGGGCGAAAGACUAAUCGAACCAUCUAGUAGCUGGUUCUGC